This 497-nucleotide ribosomal RNA is filed under the name uncultured bacterium. RNAcentral describes it as "partial 16S ribosomal RNA". It matches the Rfam family "Bacterial small subunit ribosomal RNA", at positions 28 to 507 of the family's 1533-position model. The record is from RNAcentral.
GAUGAACGCUGGCGGCGUGCCUAAUACAUGCAAGUCGAGCGAACGGACGAGAAGCUUGCUUUUCUGAUGUUAGCGGCGGACGUGUGAGUAACACGUGUAUAACCUACCUAUAAUACUUGGAUCACUUCGGGAAACCGGAGCUAAUACCGGAUAAUAUUUUGAACCGCAUGGUUCAAAAGUGAAAGACGGUCUUUCUGUCACUUAUAGAUGGAUCCGCGCUGCAUUAGCUAGUUGGUAAGGUAACGGCUUACCAAGGCAACGAUGCAUAGCCGACCUGAGAGGGUGAUCGGCGACACGGGAAGUGAGACACGGACAAGAGGCCUACGGGAGGCAGCAGUAGGGAAUGGUACGCAAUGGGCGAAAGCAUGACGGAGCAAAGGCGAGUGAGAGAUGAAGGUCUUCGGAUCGUAAAACUCUGUUAGUAGGGAAGAACAUAUGUGUAAGAAAAUGAGGACAGAAUGACGGUAACGAAAAAGAAAGCAACGGCUAACUACGUG